UACGCUGGCGGCACGCCUAACACAUGCAAGUCGAACGCAGUAGCAAUACUGAGUGGCAAACGGGUGAGUAUAAUGUGGGAAUCUGCCUUUUGGUUUGGAAUAACACGGGGAAACUUGUGCUAAUACCGAAUAAGCCCUUACGGGGAAAGUUUUAACGCCGAAAGAUGAGCCCGCACUUGAUUAGCUAGUUGGUAAGGUAAAAGCUUACCAAGGCAAUGAUCAAUAGCUGUUCUUAGAGGAAGACCAGCCACAUUGGGACUGAGACACGGCCCAGACUCCUACGGGAGGCAGCAGUGGGGAAUCUUGCACAAUGGGGGAAACCCUGAUGCAGCGAUGCCGCGUGAGUGAAGAAGGCCUUUGGGUUGUAAAACUCUUUCGUCGGGGA
RNAcentral lists this ribosomal RNA (385 nucleotides) under uncultured bacterium. Its description in RNAcentral is "bacterial SSU rRNA". It matches the Rfam family "Bacterial small subunit ribosomal RNA", at positions 33 to 445 of the family's 1533-position model. The record is from RNAcentral.